Molecule: transfer RNA, 74 nt
Filed under: Otolemur garnettii (small-eared galago)
Lineage: Eukaryota; Metazoa; Chordata; Mammalia; Primates; Galagidae
Rfam family: tRNA
About the family: Transfer RNA (tRNA) molecules are approximately 80 nucleotides in length. Their secondary structure includes four short double-helical elements and three loops (D, anti-codon, and T loops).
Source: Rfam by way of RNAcentral
GUGCCUGUGGCUCAAAGGGGUAGGGCGCUGGCCCCAUAUGCCAGAGGUGGCGGGUUCAAACCCAGCCCUGGCCA